Molecule: long non-coding RNA, 2106 nt
Filed under: Chloebia gouldiae (Gouldian finch)
Lineage: Eukaryota; Metazoa; Chordata; Aves; Passeriformes; Passeridae
Description: Erythrura gouldiae (Gouldian finch) lncRNA (ENSEGOG00005014997.1)
Source: RNAcentral
CUGGAAUGGAUUUCCCAGAGAAGUUGUGGCCACCAUAUCCCAGGAAUUGUCCAGGGCCAGGUUGGAGCAUCCUGGGAUAAUGGAAAGGACUUGGAAUAAGAUGAUUUUUAAGGACCUUCCCAACCCAAACCAAGGCAUGGUUUUGUUAUCCUUGGGCCUGAAAAUGGGAUUUUAGGAGGAAAAGCAGCCCCGACCCUUCCCCUGGGCCUGGGCCAAGCCUUGGUCUCCCUGACCUCAUCCCGAAUUUUGCUGCCGUGCAAUAUUGGGAAUAUAAUGACAGGUUAUUGGGAAUAACCCUAUUAAUGCCUGGGUGUGCCCCAGCCUCAGAUCCACCCUCUGCAUGGAGAACCCUGGGGCAGGUCGGGGCACUUUUGGGCACCAGAUUGCCCCAAUAAAUGAGGAUUUUACUGGGCCAGGAGAGGGAAAAGGGAAAGGGCUGCGAGGAGGAGUUGUGGGAUGGGAUAUCGGAAAGGGAAUGAGGGAUCUGGAUCAUCCUGGAGGUCCUUUCCAUCCCAAACCAUCCCAGGACUCCGCGAAGAUCAGAAGAGGAGGAACAGCCGAACUCCCCGUGCAAGGCCAUAAAAAAUAUGGGAGCACUGGGAGAGAAACAGGGGCCUGCAGAGCCUUUGGAUUGGGGUCGGAUUCGCGUCACACUUCCAAGACCUCUUCUUCCUCCUUUGCUGCAUCCGCGUUUUCCGUUUCUGGCUUUUCCGCACCUGGAAUUUCCUCCUGGCUCUCGUUCCCGGCCGGCUGCCGGCUCCCGCAGCCGCUUCUCCGGCAGGGAUGGAUCCAGCGGGAACGAAAAAUGUAGGAGCAGCGCGACGCUCGCCGGGGGCCCAAUUUUGGGACGAAACCCCCGGAAUGCGGGAUUGGUGCUCCGUGGGAGCUCAGGGAGGUUCCCGAGGAUCCCAGCGCCGUUCCCGCGGAUCCCAAUGCCAUUCCCAAUGAUCCCAGCGCCGUUCCCGAUGAUCCCGGCGCCAUUCCCGAUGAUCCCGGCGCCGUUCCCGAUGAUCCCGGCGCCAUUCCCGAUGAUCCUGGCACCAUUCCCGAUGAUCCCAGUGCCAUUCCCGAGGAUCCCAGCACGGUCUCCUGCGGGCAGGUGCUGAGGACGGGCGCCGGGAAGGUGAGGAGCACCGGAGGAGGGAAGAUGAUGACGCGGGAAGCGCCGCAGGAGAGGGCGCAGGGCCGGCCGGAGCCGGAGGCCGCCGGCCUCGGACACGGCUCUCGGAAUUCCGAGCACAUCUGGGAGAAACCAGGGAAAACCUGCAGCCAGCACAGCGAAAAUAUCCAGGAAUUAGAAGAUUUAUCCCUAUUUAUUUAUAAUUCCCAGUAGGAAAAAAAACCUUGCUCUGCAUAAUGUUUAUUUUAGUUUUAUUUUACGUGAUUCAAUCCAAUUUUUAAUUUUAUUUUUAAUUAAAUAUUUCUUAUUAUAUAUUUUCAAAAAUGAUUUCAUUCUUUAAUUUUAUUUUUAAAAUUCGAUUUGAUUUCCAUCGUAUUUUUUAAAAUUUUGGUUUAAUUUUUAAAAAUUACAUUCAAUUUUCAUGGCUAUUUUAAAAUCUCAUUCGGUUUUUUAAUCUUAUUUUUAAAAAUUCUAUUUACAUUGCGCUGUAUUUUUUAAAUUCAGGUUUUUUUUAAUUGUAGUUUAAAAAAAAAUAAUAAUCUAACUUUUUAAAUGUUACUUUGCAACUGAACUCCCAAAAACCCCACCCUGGCUUUUUCCAGGCCGCGAUUCCAGGGUUUUCCAUCCCUUCCCAGAUGAUUUGUUUAUCUCAGCCCGCCCAGCCCUGCUGUGAUAAUUACCCGGAGCAGAUUCCAGAGCCUGGGAUCAGAUCCGCGUCCGGAGCGCUCCCUUCGCCCCGACAGCUCCAAAACCCCUGGAAUUCUGGAGAAAUCCUUCCUCCGCAUGAAUUCCGGAGGGCCCAGAACUCCACAGGGAAUUUUGGUGCCAAAUUUUUGGUUUUUGGGUUUGCUUUUUUUUUUGUUUUGUUUUGUUUUUUUUUUUCCUUGUGGAAUCCUUGUGGAAUUCAUUCCAGAAUUUCUCCUGGGAUUUACCUGUCAGGGUUCAAAGCUGUGGGAUGCGGAUGAUUCCCAAAAAAAAUCCCUGGA